GACCUGAUAACACAGUGCUUAGUGCGUCUGCUUAAUCUAGGUUAUAAUGAGUGGACUAUGCAGAAGGUCCCGGUUCGACUCCGGGUCAGGCCG
This is a non-coding RNA of Mycena metata, 93 nucleotides long. Lineage: Eukaryota; Fungi; Basidiomycota; Agaricomycetes; Agaricales; Mycenaceae. The record is from the annotation of a GenBank genome assembly.